RNAcentral lists this ribosomal RNA (161 nucleotides) under bacterium 052350. Its description in RNAcentral is "partial 16S rRNA". It matches the Rfam family "Bacterial small subunit ribosomal RNA", at positions 355 to 507 of the family's 1533-position model. The record is from RNAcentral.
UAGGGAAUCUUCCGCAAUGGACGCAAGUCUGACGGAGCAACGCCGCGUGAGUGAUGAAGGUUUUCGGAUCGUAAAGCUCUGUUGCCAGGGAAGAACGCUUGGGAGAGUAACUGCUCUUAAGGUGACGGUACCUGAGAAGAAAGCCCCGGCUAAACUACGUG